UACGUGAGGGUGCGAGCGUUUGUCCGGAAUUAUUGGGCGUAAAGAGCUCGUAGGCGGUUUGUCACGUCUGCUGUGAAAUCCCGAGGCUCAACCUCGGGCCUGCAGUGGGUACGGGCAGACUGGAGUGCGGUAGGGGAGAAUGGAAUUCCUGGUGUAGCGGUGGAAUGCGCAGAUAUCAGGAGGAACACCGAUGGCGAAGGCAGUUCUCUGGGCCGUAACUGACGCUGAGGAGCGAAAGCGUGGGGAGCGAACAGG
This 255-nucleotide ribosomal RNA is filed under the name uncultured bacterium. Its description in RNAcentral is "partial 16S ribosomal RNA". It matches the Rfam family "Bacterial small subunit ribosomal RNA", at positions 524 to 776 of the family's 1533-position model. The record is from RNAcentral.